CAGAGGUAGAGCAUUGGACUACAGACCAAGAGGAAGGGAGUGGCAAGGCAAAUCAUGUGCUGGCCGUUAAUGCUUUGACACAAAAGUGACACAAGUGAUAUUCAUAUUUCUUUCUUAUUUAUUAUUUUUAAAUAGACUUUACUUUUUAGAGCAAUUUCAGGUUUAUAGAAAAAUUAUGCAGAAAGUAGAGUUUCCAGGUAUGCACUCCUUCCCCUUCCCCACACUCCUCCUCUGCCCCUCCACCCCCUUGCCCAGAGUUCUCUCUCAUUAACAUAUUUUGAGACAGGGUCUCUCUCUGUUGCCCAAGCAUGAUUUCUGCUCAUUGCAGCUUUGUGCAGCCUUGACCUCCUGAGCUCAAGUGAUCCUUCCACCUUAGCCUCCCCAGUAGCUGGGACUACAGGCACACAGAGUCACACUGAGCUAAAAUUUUUUUGUAUUUUUUUUUAGAGAUGGGGUUUUGCCAUGUUGCUCAGGCUGGUCUUGAACUCCUGAGCUCAAGUGAUCCACUCACUUCAGCCUCGCAAAGUGCUGGGAUUACAUGCAUGAGCCGCUGCGCUUGGCUCUCUUCCAUGUCUUUUUGUGGCUUUCUUUCUUUCCUUUUUUUUUUUUUUUUUAUCACUGGAUAAUAUUCCACUGUAUGGAUGUACCACAGUAUUGCUCUCAAUCAUAUUCUAUUGACCAAAGUAAGCCACAUGGCAACCCUGACUUCAAGGGAGGGAAGGGUUAUCCAAUCAUAUAAUUGGAAGAAGAAAAAGUAGAACUAUUUUGUGAGCAGCACUAAUUAACCCUUUUGCUUCCAUGUCUUGAAUGAAGUAACAAUGUUAUGCUCACAGUCAAAUCUUUUUCAGGGUAAGUGAGAGAGUUUCAAUUUAACGACAACUUGGACCCCCAAUUUUUGCUAUGAAGAAAGUAAUAAAAGGAGCCAGAACACUCCUCAUAUAUUACAAAAAAAUCUCAAUAUGAUCUCAAAGCUUGGCUGCAGGCUGCUCACAGAUCCUCUGUGUCCUCCCUGAAUACCAUGUAAGUGACAGCGUCUUUGGAGUCCUAAAGGGGCCACACCUUUGUCAGAAGCCAUAUGCACUUGUUAAACUGAACUAAAUAUGGCCUGAGAAGGACGCCAUACUUCUAAAUUUGAGUCCAUGAGGACAAACUGUAACCUAACUUUAUAGUCAGAUAGGAUUGAAAACCUGACUUAAGAGUAUGUGCCUGUAACAAUAGCUGAGGUCUGGCCAAUCACAGCAGCCAUACGUCAACCACUCAUACACUGCUGAGUGUUCAGAUUUGUUCAAAAAAGGCAAAUGUUGAGCUGUAAUCAGUCCAGCUGUUUCUGUACCUCACUUCUGAUUUCUGCACGUCACUUCCCUUUUGUUGUCUAUAAAUUUGUUCUGACCAUAAGGCAUCCCUGGACUCUCUCUGAAUCUGUUGUGAUUCUGGAGGCUGCCCAAUUUAUGAAUUUUUUUUUCUUGCUCAGUUAAACUCUGUUAAAUUUAAUUUGUCUGAAGUUUCCUUUUAACACAGUAUAGCCUCAGAAUAUUGCUCAAUAUUGUCCUGGACGUAGACAGAAGUGAUAACAAAUCAGGUAAAGGCCAGUCCAGAAAACAGACACCCAUCAGUUUUCCUAAUAAAGAAUACUUAAUAUAAGGAAUUGAAGCACUGAAAGUGAGGAGGAGGACCACUGGAGGGUCACGGAGCUAGCAACUGCAGGAAGCAAUCGCUACCCCUAGGGCUGAGAGAACAAAAGGGAUGCGUCAGGUGCCUGGGAUCUGGAAGCUUGGAGGAGGGCCCUGCAGAGCUGGAAACUGGACCAGGAGGGAGGGGUGCUGCCUGGUGGAGGCAGGUGCGUUGGAGACUCAGAGCAGGGACCCUCAAAACAGGGACUCAAUAUCUGGGGAGGAGGUUCUGGUUGACAGACGCUAUCACUGAGGGAGUGUGUUCUUGUAGUGAGGAAAAUAACUGCAAACUGGAGCUAAGGGCUGCUGGGAUGAUACUGACAGGACCAGCAAAAAAACAGAAGGAACAAAUCCCUUCUUCCCCACUGCCUCCAGACUCCCUCUAGUGCCCCACUACUGGCAGCCUAAGAGAAAUCCCUCUGGCAAAGCUGAAAUGUGAUUACAGAGGCCCAGCCCCAGCAACACAAAGCUGAGAAUGAAGGGUGAGUGUGGAGUUUACAGGCAACAGCUUAAUAAUCAACACAGACACUAAACAAAUAUUUGGUCCCUGUCUCUUAUGCUAAUAUUUGCUCAUUACAGCUAAAAGACUCUGAGGAAGGCCGAGGUCAGAGAAGGCGUAAGAUCUGCUAUUGACAUGUCCUGAAAGCCUUCCUUUUUGGUAACUGUCAGCUAAAAGAAUCAUCCCGGCAGUAUCAUCUGGAAACUCGUCCAGCUUGUUUUUUGGCCACCACUCAAUAAGAACUUAGUUUGAGUUCCUUGCUCUUGCUUUAAGUAGCUUUUAGAGUUCUUUGAGACAUUUGUACUUGAGAUAGAGAAAAGAACAGCUCCAUGACAAUCUUGGCUUCCCCAGGGUAUUUGAAGGGGCUUACUGUCCAUUCCCAGUUCUGAAUCACCAAAUUCCACUAAAUAGCCAAGGUACUCACCAACCGUUCUUCCUUAAUCUUUGCAGUCCUUCCUGUUCCCAUUUCUUAUUUUUAUGUAUUUCUGUCCUUUCUUUUCCCUGUUUUAAAAUCCUUCCCCUUCUUCUUUUCUGCCAUUCCACUGCUUUUCCUGAUAACCCUCACUCUUCCCGGGGGACAGCACAGUGUGCUUGAAAGAGCAUGACUCCUGCACAAGAAGGGCCUAGGGUUAAAUCCUAAUUCUAAUGUUUACUUGCUUUAUGAUCUUGAGCAAGUAAUUUUUCAUUUUCAGUUUUUUAAAAUGGAAAUAAUUGCUAGGAUACGUGUACUUUGUAAGAAGAAAAUGAGAGAAUGUAUAUGUAGUGCCUGAUAGAUAAUAGGUGCUUGUUAAAUAUUUGCUUCCAUCUCUCUUUUUGUUGUUGUUAUCAAAUGCACCCUUAGGUACACCUAUUGAAAACCAACUUAAGACUUCCUUAUGUCUGCUGCAGAGCCCUGCGCUAGGCGCCUAUCUUAGACCCAGCCUGAAUUCUUCUCCUAAAGUACCGAAUUGUUUAUUUAAUCUGGCCAUAUUUUAUUUAACUCACUUUCUCUGUCUUAAUUAUUUGGAAACUGGUGAGGCUCAAAAUUCAGUCUGUGGCAGCCAGAAUUACUAAGCUGGUGUAUUUUGACUAAAACAGGGGAAAGUUUGCAGCAUAAGGGAAAGAAAAGACAGACUAGGUUUGGAUUACUCUGACUGGAAUCAGUGGGAGAUGGAAGGUUCAAGUCCUAAACUGGCAUUCCCUCACACUUCAUGCCAGGACCAGCCAUCAGAUACCACUCAUCGUCAUGUGCAGACUGGCCCUAGAGCUGGAAAAUGGCCACCGAGGUCACGAGAGGGUGGAAAUAAUAUUUCACUCUGUCUCAGUGUUACGACACCUUGCUGGUUAUUUACCUUCCAGUCCUUUGGAACCCUUAACUAGAAGUAGUUGCAAAGUCAGCCAGCCAGCGAGCUAAGUACUGAGCCAAGCAUCACUGAAGAAUUUUUGUGGAAAACAUGUACAGUUGCCUCAGUAAAAGGAAUGUGUGG
Molecule: long non-coding RNA, 3635 nt
Filed under: Homo sapiens (human)
Lineage: Eukaryota; Metazoa; Chordata; Mammalia; Primates; Hominidae
Description: HSALNT0218771
Source: RNAcentral